CAGCCGCCGCGGUAAUACGGAGGGUGCAAGCGUUAUCCGGAUUUAUUGGGUUUAAAGGGUCCGUAGGCGGAUCUGUAAGUCAGUGGUGAAAUCUCACAGCUUAACUGUGAAACUGCCAUUGAUACUGCAGGUCUUGAGUAAAUUUGAAGUGGCUGGAAUAAGUAGUGUAGCUGUGAAAUGCAUAGAUAUUACUUAGAACACCAAUUGCGAAGGCAGGUCACUAAGAUUUAACUGACGCUGAUGGACGAAAGCGUGGGGAGCGAACAGGAUUAGAUACCCCCGUAGUCCCUGUCUCUUAUAC
RNAcentral lists this ribosomal RNA (301 nucleotides) under uncultured bacterium. Its description in RNAcentral is "partial 16S ribosomal RNA". It matches the Rfam family "Bacterial small subunit ribosomal RNA", at positions 509 to 807 of the family's 1533-position model. The record is from RNAcentral.